This 77-nucleotide transfer RNA is filed under the name Pseudomonadota bacterium. RNAcentral's name for it is "tRNA-Arg". It matches the Rfam family "tRNA". From Rfam's summary of the family: Transfer RNA (tRNA) molecules are approximately 80 nucleotides in length. Their secondary structure includes four short double-helical elements and three loops (D, anti-codon, and T loops). Lineage: Bacteria; Pseudomonadati; Pseudomonadota. RNAcentral also lists the same sequence under 4 other names. The record is from RNAcentral.
GGGCGGUUAGCUCAGCAGGAUAGAGCGUUGGUCUCCGGAACCAAAGGUCCUGGGUUCGAGCCCCAGAUCGCCCGCCA